Molecule: ribosomal RNA, 440 nt
Filed under: uncultured bacterium
Lineage: Bacteria
Description: partial 16S ribosomal RNA
Rfam family: Bacterial small subunit ribosomal RNA
Source: RNAcentral
CCUACGGGAGGCAGCAGUAGGGAAUAUUGCUCAAUGGGGGAAACCCUGAAGCAGCAACGCCGCGUGGAGGAUGAAGGUUUUCGGAUUGUAAACUCCUUUUGUUAGAGAAGAUAAUGACGGUAUCUAACGAAUAAGCACCGGCUAACUCCGUGCCAGCAGCCGCGGUAAUACGGAGGGUGCCAGCGUUACCCGGAAUCACUGGGCGUAAAGCGCGCGUAGGCGGGAUAGCAAGUCAGAUGUGAAAUCCUAUGGCUUAACCAUAGAACUGCAUUUGAAACUGGUAUGCUAGAGUAUGGGAGAGGUAGGUGGAAUUCUUGGUGUAGGGGUAAAAUCCGUAGAGAUCAAGAGGAAUACUCAUUGCGAAGGCGACCUGCUAGAACAUAACUGACGCUGAUGCGCGAAAGCGUGGGGAGCAAACAGGAUUAGAUACCCUAGUAGUC